RNAcentral lists this ribosomal RNA (387 nucleotides) under uncultured Streptococcus sp. Its description in RNAcentral is "bacterial SSU rRNA". It matches the Rfam family "Bacterial small subunit ribosomal RNA", at positions 991 to 1382 of the family's 1533-position model. Lineage: Bacteria; Bacillati; Bacillota; Bacilli; Lactobacillales; Streptococcaceae. The record is from RNAcentral.
GAUGCUAUUCUAGAGAUAGAAGUUACUUCGGUACAUCGGUGACAGGUGGUGCAUGGUUGUCGUCAGCUCGUGUCGUGAGAUGUUGGGUUAAGUCCCGCAACGAGCGCAACCCCUAUUGUUAGUUGCCAUCAUUCAGUUGGGCACUCUAGCGAGACUGCCGGUAAUAAACCGGAGGAAGUGGGGAUGACGUCAAAUCAUCAUGCCCCUUAUGACCUGGGCUACACACGUGCUACAAUGGUUGGUACAACGAGUUGCGAGUCGGUGACGGCGAGCUAAUCUCUUAAAGCCAAUCUCAGUUCGGAUUGUAGGCUGCAACUCGCCUACAUGAAGUCGGAAUCGCUAGUAAUCGCGGAUCAGCACGCCGCGGUGAAUACGUUCCCGGGCCUU